AUGUAGUAUUCUAUGAAACCACUUUUCGUCCACGUUUUCUGAAUAAAAAUAGUUGACGAAAAGCGGAAAAGGAAUAUCAUGAAUAUCUAUGGGAACAUUGAAAUUCUAAGAGGUUAGGAUCUCUUAACGGAAGACUCUCGGACGGAAGUCCUUGUCAAACAUGAAAAAGGCUAAUGCAUAAUGUAGAAAAAGAGGAAGGAGAGGAAGAUAAACGCCCGAUGGUGACAUAUGUACAAAUCGCUCGUGAUCGAACGUGUAGAGUGCAUCGAUCAAAUUUCGGAUGUCAUGAUUUGUAUUACUGUAAUGUAUAAAUAAUCGAACGUUUCUUUAAAUGUUUCUAACUUGUAGAAUAUAAGAAUGAUAUGUUAAUGAUAUUUAAUACAUUUUUAUAUCUUGAUGAAAGAAUAUCAUUCUGAAUGUUAAGUCCAAAAUAGAGAAACUAUUAAACGUUAUAUUAAAACCGAUUAAAUUAAAAUGUGCUUAAACAUGUUCUAUCCACAUGAAAAAAUUACCUAUUUUUUUUUCUUUUUUUUCCUAUAUGUAAAAAAGCAGAGGAACAUUUGAAUUCAAAUACUCCUGUUUAACAUGGAUAUUAUGUCAACGAUUUCCCUCAUUUAUUGGACUUUUUUUCGUUCUCUAUUCUCUUCUUUGCCAGAAGGGGGGGGGGGAAUAGUCUGGCUCGAAUUACGAAACUAUCGCAAAUGAGCUUUUUCAAUAGAAACCUAUUCCAGCAAGAAACUCGUAUGGUUAUACGCAUGAUAUGCUAUCUGGAUAUGGUGCUGACAAUGAACCUCGAUCGCACACCGCCCUCAAGCCUAUAUGUCUUGCUGACAAUUUAGCAGCGCGAUUCGUACGAUACUGUCGAUACGAUAAACUGCUCGGGGAACGCGAGAUGCUUGCAAAUUGGCGGCAACUAUGUCGCCACAUGUAACACAAAUUGAGGUUAAUUAAAGAGGGAAAUAUAGCGUGGUAAUACGGUCAUGAUACGUCUAAAUGCAUUCAUAUUUUUAAUAGACCUUCAGACUUAUACGAAAUCAGCUUUAAUUCACAAUGUAAUACGAUAAGUACGAUAAAUUAUACAGGGUAUCUAGAAAUGAAAUAAAUAAAUUAGUUUUAUAUAAAAUUACAUGUAGACAAACUGAUUUACAUUUUUUCUUUGAAAAGCAAGAUUUGAAAAAAUUGUAUCUAAUUUUAGAUGUGUGCAGAGAAUGAGCACAAGAAUUUAUCUAUGCCCUUGUACACGAUAAUUAAAAAAUUAAUAACAUUAACGUAUGGAUAAAUAGUCUUCAUAUACAAAGAUCACGAAUACCAAUUUGUAUUUCACUUUGAACUUUAACUAUCAGCGAAUUUCAGCGUUAUGCUUCAAGUCGCGUUAUAAUUUUAAUCUGCUUCAGAGGAGGUACAAAUGUCAGUGGCACUAAGAAUAAACAUAGACAUUACGAUAAGCAGGAAAUCAGAAAAUGAGUGUCACUCGUGCUUCAAGAUUCAUAUAUCAAGCUAUCCUGUUAUUCGCGUGUACUAUAUGCUACGAAAGAAAAUCGAGACAGUUUUCCGUGGGCGAAACCGAGUCUUUCGAGAUCCCGUGAAAAAUAUGCAUGUCACAGUAUCAUCGUGAAACCUUUUCCGACACGAUAAAACACGACGUCGCGAAUUGCUCACAUGUUGUCGAGGCCCCGUGCUUCUCUUCUUUUUCCCUCCCUUUUUACUUUCCUCCCUCCCUAACCCUCUUUCUCGCACGUAAUAUGAUUCCAUCACGGCAAUGGCAAAUAUUGCACGCAAUUUCCCCUCAAAUUGCUCUCGUGUAACUUAAUUCGCUGGCGAUGGCGAAGCGCGUCAACCCUCCUUUUUUUCCAUCGGUGAUAAUUUCUCUCACGAUAUCAGUCACACAGAUACGCUUUUUUGUCAGGGUCUCCGCCAUGUUAGACGCUCGCGACGAUCCACCAGAAUCGAAACUCUUUUUUAUAUACGAUUACGACUUAGCCUGCAUACAUACUUUAGUUGUUGCAAAAAAGAAUCAUGGAAAUUUGAUAUUUUAGUUGGUUUAAGUUUAAGUUAACUCUCAUCUUUUAAGGUAUUCAAUAAUAGAUCAACAUUUUUUAACUGGAAAGAAAAUAUCGAAAGAAGAGAUAAACAUCCAUAGUUUUAUUAUGGUACAG
Molecule: long non-coding RNA, 2156 nt
Organism: Bombus impatiens (common eastern bumble bee)
Lineage: Eukaryota; Metazoa; Arthropoda; Insecta; Hymenoptera; Apidae
Exons: 2
Source: RefSeq, a predicted model, not a curated record